CCAGACUUUUCAAAGGGACGAUGAUCACAGUGAAACUGAAAGCAUAAAUUAAGGAAAGAUCAGUUAUGCCCUUUUUUUCAGGGACAAGUUUCAGGAAUCCAGAUUUUCUUUAUUUGAUAGACACAUAUGGAGUAACUCUUAGACUCCGCUGGACUAAAAAGAGACAGCUACACUCUCCAGUUAGAAAUGGCUGUUCAUACUCUGAAACUGAUCAUCAUCUAAUGUAAGUACAGUAUGGCAUAUCUCUAAGAUAAAUGGAGAAAGUGCAACCCAACUGAACGCUGAUGGCAGUUGCUUCCUGGCUUGGAGAAACAGCGAUUGCAUUCUUAGUUUUAACCUUUCUGGGCCCCAAGCUUAGGAUAAUAUAGUCUAUUAUUGGCCUGUUUCUCAUAUUAUUCUGAAAUUUCUAGUGUCUACCUUGUAAGAGAAAAACAUUACUAGCCAGGCGCAGUGGCUCACACCUGUAAUCCCAGCACUUUGGGAGGCCGAGGUGGGCGUAUCACCUGAGGUCAGGGGUUCGAGACCAGUCUGGCCAACAUGGUGAAACCUCUACUAAAAAUACAAAAAUCAGCCAGGCAUGGUGGCG
RNAcentral lists this long non-coding RNA (586 nucleotides) under Homo sapiens (human). RNAcentral describes it as "non-protein coding lnc-RPAP2-2:1". The record is from RNAcentral. Lineage: Eukaryota; Metazoa; Chordata; Mammalia; Primates; Hominidae.